Molecule: ribosomal RNA, 252 nt
Filed under: uncultured fungus
Lineage: Eukaryota; Fungi
Description: partial small subunit ribosomal RNA
Rfam family: Eukaryotic small subunit ribosomal RNA
Source: RNAcentral
CUUAAUUGCGAUAACGAACGAGACCUAACCUGCUAAUAGCCAGGCCCGCUUUUGUCGGGUCGCCGGCUUCUUAGAGGGACUAUCGGAUUUCAAGUCGAUGGAAGUUUGAGGCAAUAACAGGUCUGUGAUGCCCUUAGAUGUUCUGGGCCGCACGCGCGCUACACUGACAGAGCCAACGAGUACAUCACCUUGGCCGGAAGGUCUGGGUAAUCUUGUUAAACUCUGUCGUGCUGGGGAUAGGGCAUUGCAAUG